CAAACCGUUUUAAAUAAGGUGCUAAAGCAACAAAAAUAAAAUCAGAGUUAGUGGCCCACAAUAUGUUUGAAAAGGAUAUACUCGACAAGGAAGGACCAGUAUUUUGAAACUAAAAUUACAAAUGAUUAAAGCUGUCGUAGCUGUUUAAAUAAUUAAAUCGUUUCUAGCUACAUUUUUCUAUGUAGAUCAACAUACUCCCAAUGAGGUUAUACAGUUACUCGACAGAUCCAACACAGUAACCCGCUUAAAGGAAGCCUGCAAAAGAAAAAGUGAGAAAGUUAAUACUUUGUUCAAUACAAAAGGGAUCUCACAUUUAAUUUGCAAGUUGUAUGAAUGUGGCACACAAGGAAUCAAAAAACACAAACAAACAGAAGGGCUAAUAACAAAGCACCCUUAAAUUCGAACGGAAAGCUACUCACUGACACAAACAAGCACAAGGAUGUUGACUUCGAUGAAGAAACGUUAAACGUAGCCAUUUGCGGUAUAGUAACAACGUCCUAGAUUUGCCAAAAAAUGAGUUUAUCAAGAAAUUUAGAGUUAGCAAAGAGGUUUUCAAACAGAUUGCGAUCGCACCUAAAAUGCAGAAAAGACAUAGCCGCACCGCUGUACCGGAGAUGACGAAACUAGCUUGCUUCAUGAGAUCGCUUGCGGGAAACUAUCAAAAGAAUAUAGGAGAAAACUACACUACUUGUGGGUCACAACCAUUGACGUCACGAAUUAUUACCGAGUGCUUAGAUGUGUAUUUGAAAAUUACUUUUGUAGCAAAUGGAUAAAUUUGGAGAUGACAGUGAAGGAGGAAAAUAAAAGGAAGGAGGAUUUUUACAGAAAAACUAAGAUACUGGGUGUAGUUGGUUGCGUUGACUGUACACAUAUUAGUAUACAAUGUCCAAAAACCGAGGCGAAAUAUCUAUACAAGAACAAUAUAGGAAUUUACAGUAUAAAUGCUCUUAUAAUUUGUGAUGCCAACUUAGUUGUAAGAUAUGUCGAUGCAAUACACCCCGGUGAAAACGAAGAUUCCUUCGUUUGGGAAAUAAUCGCGGCAAAUGAGUAUUUCAAAUCAAUGUAUGACUCUGGAAAGAGACAUUUUUGGCUUAUAGGCGACUUAGGUUUUUAACUGCAACCAUAUCGAAAACCCUUUAGAAAGAUGCGAAGUUAGUUACAAUGAAAUCCUACUAAAAGCGCAUCGAAUUAUAGAGAAAUGUUCUUAAGUCAUAAAAAGUAGAUUUCGUUGCAUUUCAGGUGACCGAAAAUUGCACUACUUGCCAGGAAAAACAACGAAAUUAAUUAACGCUUGUUGUGCGAUUCAUAAUGCUUGCGUAUUUUAUAAAGAUGAUUUAUUAUUAAACUUGAAAUAUGCCGAUUUUGAAGACACAAAUUUGCACAGAAAUGAGGACUGCGACUUGGAAAUGGAUAUAUCAGAAGAAGCUAAUGACGUAAGACAAAGGUUGACAAAGUGUUUAAGGGAGCAUACUGAGUUCAUACCAAUGUAAAUCGGCUACAUAGUUCAAAUUGAUAUUGAAAAAAGCUAAUUUUAUACAUAUAUGUAUAUGUAGAUAUAUUUGAAGUUUUACGAAUAUGUUCUUAGUUUAAGGAUUGCUCUGUAAAUACAAAUCAUUUCCAUUCAAAAAAAUGGAAACAUUUUCCAACAUAUCUAAAUAUAAAAAAUCAAUUUAAAACAAAAGGUAUUAAAUAUAAAAUGAAACAAAAGUUCAGCUUAUAAUUCGGCCAUCCUUUCUAAAGCAAUUGCUUGACGUUCAAUAGUUAGUGUUUGAUUCGUCAUACAUAUGUUAACUGUUCUUCCAUCAACUGUUCUUGCCUUUCUAUAGCUUUUGCCAGUUUUUGUAGACAUAUACUUUGUCUGUUCAUCACUUCAGCCAUAUCCUGUGGAAAUAUUUCAAUUAUUGAGUUCUCAAUGUCAAUAUCUGUGAAGUGUAAUGCCUUCAAUAUCAGUUUUCCGUUGACUAUUUUAAAUUUCACAGCUUUGUCACAAAUGUAAAUAGAACCGAAAUAUAUAACUCGACAGAACGCAUUUGAUUUCAACGUAACUGUUUACGUACUUAGGCCCGGAACAGAAUUGCAGCGAGACAGCGGGUUAACGGGUGGUGAUUAGCUGAUCCACUUGCGUCAGAAAAUUCUUCGGUUAAACACAAAUGCGACGGGGGCGGAGAACGCAAUUGCGACAUUUCGUGGUUACAAUAAAAUUAUUUUUGUAGUGAAAUCUUUUCGUUUGCUAUAUUUGUGAACCAACUCGUUGAAGGUUUUGUUAGGAAAAAACAACGUCUGUUUAAAUUAUUAAUAAUUAUUUCUUGUGAAAAUUAUCAGCGGUUAUCCGUUAACCCGUUACCCGCUAUGCACUGCUAUUCUGUUUAAGAGGUAAGUUAAAGGUUGUUGGCAUUCUAUGUCAUUUCCUUAAGCUGGCCCCAAACAAUUCCCAGCGAUUUGUUGCAGUUCGGAGAAAAUUUAUCGUGUAUGGCGAAGUGCGGGCACAAAUCCCAAGUAAUUGAAAAUUUUCAUUUACUUGGGCUG
This is an RNA transcript of Anastrepha ludens (Mexican fruit fly), 2526 nucleotides long. It is a transcript of the gene named putative nuclease HARBI1, with no coding region annotated. The transcript has 5 exons. Lineage: Eukaryota; Metazoa; Arthropoda; Insecta; Diptera; Tephritidae. The record is from RefSeq and is a predicted model, not a curated record.